RNAcentral lists this ribosomal RNA (332 nucleotides) under uncultured soil bacterium. RNAcentral's name for it is "bacterial SSU rRNA". It matches the Rfam family "Bacterial small subunit ribosomal RNA", at positions 26 to 363 of the family's 1533-position model. The record is from RNAcentral.
AGAUUGAACGCUGGCGGCAUGCCUUACACAUGCAAGUCGAACGGCAGCACGGGAGCAAUCCUGGUGACGAGUGGCGAACGGGUGAGUAAUACAUCGGAACGUGCCCAAUCGUGGGGGAUAACGCAGCGAAAGCUGUGCUAAUACCGCAUAAGAUCUACGGAUGAAAGCAGGGGAUCGCAAGACCUUGCGCGAAUGGAGCGGCCGAUGGCAGAUUAGGUAGUUGGUGAGGUAAUGGCUCACCAAGGCGACGAUCCGUAACUGGUCUGAGAGGAUGAUCAGUCACACUGGAACUGAGACACGGUCCAGACUCCAGGGAGCAGCAGUGGGGAAUA